GAUGCAUAGCCGAGUUGAGAGACUGAUCGGCCACAAUGGAACUGAGACACGGUCCAUACUCCUACGGGAGGCAGCAGUAGGGAAUCUUCCACAAUGGGCGCAAGCCUGAUGGAGCAACACCGCGUGAGUGAAGAAGGGUUUCGGCUCGUAAAGCUCUGUUGUUGGAGAAGAACGUGCGUGAGAGUAACUGUUCACGCAGUGACGGUAUCCAACCAGAAAGUCACGGCUAACUACGUGCCAGCAGCCGCGGUAAUACGUAGGUGGCAAGCGUUAUCCGGAUUUAUUGGGCGUAAAGCGAGCGCAGGCGGUUGCUUAGGUCUGAUGUGAAAGCCUUCGGCUUAACCGAAGAAGUGCAUCGGAAACCGGGCGACUUGAGUGCAGAAGAGGACAGUGGAACUCCAUGUGUAGCGGUGGAAUGCGUAGAUAUAUGGAAGAACACCAGUGGCGAAGGCGGCUGUCUGGUCUG
This 466-nucleotide ribosomal RNA is filed under the name uncultured bacterium. RNAcentral describes it as "bacterial SSU rRNA". It matches the Rfam family "Bacterial small subunit ribosomal RNA", at positions 278 to 736 of the family's 1533-position model. The record is from RNAcentral.